RNAcentral lists this ribosomal RNA (460 nucleotides) under uncultured bacterium. Its description in RNAcentral is "partial 16S ribosomal RNA". It matches the Rfam family "Bacterial small subunit ribosomal RNA", at positions 338 to 795 of the family's 1533-position model. The record is from RNAcentral.
CCUACGGGAGGCUGCAGUGAGGAAUAUUGGUCAAUGGACGAGAGUCUGAACCAGCCAAGUAGCGUGAAGGAUGACUGCCCUAUGGGUUGUAAACUUCUUUUAUAUGGGAAUAAAAUGUUCCACGUGUGGGAUUUUGUAUGUACCAUAUGAAUAAGGAUCGGCUAACUCCGUGCCAGCAGCCGCGGUAAUACGGAGGAUCCGAGCGUUAUCCGGAUUUAUUGGGUUUAAAGGGAGCGUAGGUGGAUUGUUAAGUCAGUUGUGAAAGUUUGCGGCUCAACCGUAAAAUUGCAGUUGAAACUGGCAGUCUUGAGUACAGUAGAGGUGGGCGGAAUUCGUGGUGUAGCGGUGAAAUGCUUAGAUAUCACGAAGAACUCCGAUUGCGAAGGCAGUUCACUGGACUGCAACUGACAUUGAGGCUCGAAAGUGUGGGUAUCAAACAGGAUUAGAUACCCUAGUAGUC